UCUUUCAAUAUUGAUAUAAUUUUUUUUUUCAUCUUGGGAUUCCCUAUGAAAAAAGUGCCGGAAUAGCUCAGUUGGUAAAGCAAAGGACUGAAAAUCCUCGUGUCACCCAGUUCAAAUA
Molecule: transfer RNA, 118 nt
Filed under: Heterogemma capitata
Lineage: Eukaryota; Viridiplantae; Streptophyta; Jungermanniopsida; Jungermanniales; Lophoziaceae
Description: Tritomaria capitata partial tRNA-Phe
Source: RNAcentral